Molecule: transfer RNA, 73 nt
Filed under: Laccaria bicolor S238N-H82
Lineage: Eukaryota; Fungi; Basidiomycota; Agaricomycetes; Agaricales; Hydnangiaceae
Description: tRNA-Asp (GTC) (tRNA-Asp-GTC-5-1)
Rfam family: tRNA
About the family: Transfer RNA (tRNA) molecules are approximately 80 nucleotides in length. Their secondary structure includes four short double-helical elements and three loops (D, anti-codon, and T loops).
Source: RNAcentral
UCUCUGUUGGUAUAUUUGGUCAGUACACGCGCCUGUCACGCGCGAAAGCUGGGUUCAACUCCCAGACAGAGAG